AUGCUUUCAAAGAUGGUCUCAAAGAUAUUUCAGGUUGCCACAAUGAGUUGGGAACUUGGCUUUUUUAUGACGACAAUCUGUUGUCCCCGUUGUCUCUCUGGUGGCUCAGAUGAUAUGGAAGAUCCUGUUGGUUCUAUAGGAUUACCUAAUCCACAAUGGAAAUGUGCUCAACAAUCAUUUAUAAAAUGCAUAUCAACCUCCGGUAAGCCAGGACUGUGGAAGAAAACUAUAAAUGUGGUAGAAAUUAAAACAGCUGGUUCAAAAAGAUACCUUUAAUAUUUACAUAAUUGUCUGGGACUGAAGUGUAUAUAUUUCAAAUGGGUGUUAUUUACCUAAUAAUCUAUAAAAAGUCAUCUGAUCUAUCAUAGAUUUUUUCCUUAUGCCUUAUGCCAAAGCCUAUUAGAGUCUUUCCAGCGAAAUAUUAAACCGUUAGGUUAUAAAACUUACAAAUGAGCCAUUACUGUCUAUUAGGUCAGUACAGGUGCUCUGUAUGGGCCAUCUCUAGGUUAAAAUGGCUUAUAAUAUUUCAGAGAUAAAAAUAUCAAGUCUGUAUUACAAUGAUUUACUAUAAAAGAUGCUAUAAAAAUGAAAUACAUUUUCCAAAAAAAAUACUUGAGACAUUUUUGAAAAAUGUGUAAUUUCUAA
This 645-nucleotide long non-coding RNA is filed under the name Bos grunniens (domestic yak). RNAcentral's name for it is "lncRNA (ENSBGRG00000026219.1)". The record is from RNAcentral. Lineage: Eukaryota; Metazoa; Chordata; Mammalia; Artiodactyla; Bovidae.